GACAGAUGAUUGGGGUGAAGUCGUAACAAGGUAGCCGUAGGAGAACCUGCGGCUGGAUCACCUCCUUU
RNAcentral lists this ribosomal RNA (68 nucleotides) under Ligilactobacillus salivarius. Its description in RNAcentral is "partial 16S ribosomal RNA". It matches the Rfam family "Bacterial small subunit ribosomal RNA", at positions 1466 to 1533 of the family's 1533-position model. The record is from RNAcentral. Lineage: Bacteria; Bacillati; Bacillota; Bacilli; Lactobacillales; Lactobacillaceae.